GAGUACAAGAAAGAAGAACGACAGUAGCCACUGAGGAUUCGUGAAGCCUUUACUAACCGCAGCAAAGAUCUGUCCCAUUUCGGAAAGGUGAUUGAGAACUUAAAUAAAAUAAGGGAGCAAGAAGAGUUGGAAGAUUGCAUGAGUACCGAAGGGGUCCCAGAUGAGGGGGUGUCAAAUGCUGAUGAUGAUGGAGGAAAGCACGAGGAUGGUAAGAAAGAGGAGAAUGAGGACGCAGCCGAGGUCCAAAGCGCUGCAAAGCCGGACACGGAGGAGGACGAGGAAGAUGAACUGUCGAGAUAUAGCCAAGUUAUGAGUCACCUGAAAUGGCUGUAAAGCAAUUAUUUUUUGUAUUCAGGAUAUAAUUUGGU
This is a long non-coding RNA of Salvia hispanica, 368 nucleotides long. RefSeq lists it as uncharacterized. Lineage: Eukaryota; Viridiplantae; Streptophyta; Magnoliopsida; Lamiales; Lamiaceae. The record is from RefSeq and is a predicted model, not a curated record.